Molecule: long non-coding RNA, 2013 nt
Organism: Triticum aestivum (bread wheat)
Lineage: Eukaryota; Viridiplantae; Streptophyta; Magnoliopsida; Poales; Poaceae
Exons: 2
Source: RefSeq, a predicted model, not a curated record
GAAACCAUGCCCAUCCACAGCACUAUAGUAUUAGCACGUAUUGUGGCUUCAGGGGUCCCAACCAACAUGAACCUUCAUUUUUCUUCUCUCUUUCUUUAUCUUCUCGAAACUCCCAGCCAUGGAAAUGGUUGAGUUUUCUUUGUCUUCUUGGAGCUCCCAGCCAUGGAAAUGGCUGAGCCAUCUUGGAUCCACCGCAUUUGAGGAUGACCCCCAAGUCCCCCCUCAGUUUUCAACCUCCUCGUCCUUACCUGCACGCACCUCAUGCCGGGGACGGCGCUUGGUUUGGAUCCCCGUGUGCCUCGUCGAUCUCCCAGGCCGGUCAAUGGGAGCAGGGCCCUAAUAGCAGCUGCGUGAUGGAGGAUGUGAGGUCGUCGAAGUCGACGGUUCCUUCCCAGUAUGUGUCCAUGGAGGCGAUGAAGUAGUGGAUCUCGUUCCCUUUAGCUCCUGCACGAUUUUGGGAUCUUGGGGGUGUUGUCCGUCCCCAAGCGCCGAGCCGUAGGCGUCAAUGCUGUCCCCAAGCGAGGCACUCCGACGUAUCGUCUUCGUCCUCAACAGCGGCAGCCCGGCUUCGGCAUUGCAUUCUUCCACCUACAGGGAUGCAUAUGGGGCAUUGUAGCACCAAGGUGCUAGUGCAUGUCCGUUCAAACAUUUGAAAAUAUGAACUUUCUUUCUUUGAUGAGAGUACCUCGUCACUGAUACUGUCAAUGCUAUAAUGGUCUUGUUUUUCGUCCUGUCCCGCCUGCAAGGUAAGAUACUAUACCAUAUAGUUUGGAAUAUAAAAUAGGCCAAUUGUUUUUCUUAAAUUGGAAAUGUAAAGUUUUGACAUGUGUAAAGUGUUCUUUCAUGCACUCUUUUAAAGUAUUUUAACAUGUGUGAAGUUUCUUCAUAGUCUUUAUUUGAAUCAUCUUCUAAUGUAAUUACAUAUGGACAUACUUUCUUUUCGAAUACAUUUGCAUACAGUUUUUGGAAAUUCAUAAAAUAACAACAAUUAUUUAACACAUGUAGAAGAUGAGAAGUGAAAUACCUGAUUAUUGAGAAGUUUGUUCUCUGUAAUCUUUUUUGCUUCAUUCAUGACUUUUGUUCCUUGGAUUUCCAGUAUGAUUUAUAAAGAACAUGCUUGCAGUAUACUAUUGGUAAACUAUUAGAACCUGUUUUCCAAUAUGGAUCCUUCUGGAGGUGGCUUGAUUUCGUGCAGAAGAUGGUACCUGCUCGAGGUGGUGUUUUCGCUAGACGGAAGUAAUGAUGUACAUUGUGUCAUUGCUGGCUGAAGUUGAUCGGACAAUCCUCAAUAUCACGUACAAUGUUCUACAAGCACAAUAUUGGUAAGUGGAAGUAAAAGUAAGUGCCUUGCCUAAUUGAGCUUAAACUUGUUAGUUGGGCGGCAACGCAAAUAUGAACUUAUAUAUGUGCUACUAAUUAGAGCAAAGGGGGUUCAUGAAAAGGACUAAUGCUACAUAGUGCAACCCCAAUUCCAAUGGAGAUGGUGAACGCUCUAGGGCAUCCCAGUUCUUUUUUGCUGAUCUAUCAGGUCCAACACCUGCGACUGCUCGUCAGGUCCAACAUCCGCGUCGAGGAGUCCUGCUUCGUUGCGAAGGGAGAAGUCGGUUUUCAGUCCCUCAUGGAGGCCAUGCAGUUCAUGGCGUACGUCUGUUCCAGGCCGGCGCUUUGUAGACAGAGCUUCAAAAUUCAGGACAUCUUGGAGGAGAACCGCUAGGGUUCUCUCGAGGAAGUUUAGGUCCAUCGGUGGAGCAGGAAUUCCUGAGCGAAUCUUGAAGGACAUCUUUCUUUCUAGUAAAUAUCUAAGCCGAAGAUAGCUCCCUAUGUAUUUGAUGCAACGGAUGUAAAUAUUUUGUUUAUGUAGAUGUCCAUCUGUGCUCUAAUCUAGUAGUAAUGAUACAAUAGUUUCUUCUCGGAUGCAUGUACUGCUUUCAUGUAAGAUUUAACAUCAGAUUGAAAAGAAAGAAAACAUGGUGCUUCAAGUAGUAAUGAUACAAUAGUUUCUUCUCGGAUGCA